Molecule: ribosomal RNA, 515 nt
Filed under: uncultured bacterium
Lineage: Bacteria
Description: partial 16S ribosomal RNA
Rfam family: Bacterial small subunit ribosomal RNA
Source: RNAcentral
GAUGAACGCUGGCGGCGUCCCUAAUACAUGCAAGUCGAGCGAAUGGAUUAAGAGCUUGCUCUUAUGAAGUUAGCGGCGGACGGGUGAGUAACACGUGGGUAACCUGCCCAUAAGACUGGGAUAACUCCGGGAAACCGGGGCUAAUACCGGAUAAUAUUUUGAACUGCAUGGUUCGAAAUUGAAAGGCGGCUUCGGCUGUCACUUAUGGAUGGACCCGCGUCGCAUUAGCUAGUUGGUGAGGUAACGGCUCACCAAGGCAACGAUGCGUAGCCGGCCUGAGAGGGUGGUCGGCCACCAUGGGACUGAGGCACGGCCCAGACGCCGACGGGAGGCAGCAGUAGGGAAUCUUCCGCAAUGGACGAAAGUCUGACGGAGCAACGCCGCGUGAGUGAUGAAGGCUUUCGGGUCGUAAAACUCUGUUGUUAGGGAAGAACAAGUGCUAGUUGAAUAAGCUGGCACCUUGACGGUACCUAACCAGAAAGCCACGGCUAACUACGUGCCAGCCGCCGCAGUAA